Molecule: long non-coding RNA, 1214 nt
Organism: Morone saxatilis (striped sea-bass)
Lineage: Eukaryota; Metazoa; Chordata; Actinopteri; Moronidae
Exons: 2
Source: RefSeq, a predicted model, not a curated record
CAGCCGCUCCCACUGUAACGGCCAAUCGCCAUAAGCAACCAGCCACUGUCUAUCAGGGAGCCACUAACGACGGACUGGCAGCCGCGGGGUCCUUUUGGUGCUAAAGUUCUGGGGCGAUUCCUGAUCAGAGGGCGGGACCAGCCUAAAGAGCGCCCUCUCCAGUGUCCCUCAGAGGAAAGGACGCUCAGUAGGGAGCAAGAUGGCUUCCUGUUGCCAGAUCGACCGUCAGAGCAAAUUUACAACCCUUCCACUCACCCGACCCCAACCCCGUUAUCUCACCAUAAAGAUAUAACCCCAAAAUAAAUGUUUUGUAAAUUUGUUUUAUACCUCAUUUUUAGUUUUUUUUGUUUUUUUUUCUACUGUAUUUUUGUACGUGAGUUGUUUUUCUAUCUAUUAAAGCUACAGAACAAUGAAAUCAGAUUUGUAAAUGUAUGUGAUUGUAGGUUUUUCUGUUGUUUAAAGCCAAAGAAGAAUGACAUGAAGAGCUUUAAAAAAGUUUCUUUUUGGGUCAGCCGGCCACACUGGCUUUUAAAUUGUAUUAUUUAGCAUUCAGGGUGGAUUCUGGACAGAAAACAGGAAUAGUUGAGAAUGAGAGAUGAGAACACUGAUGCCACUCUCAUGUCUGUAUGUUACAUAUGAAGUUAGAGCAAAGUGACGGUUAGCUUUAACAGUUAGAAAACAGCAAGCUUGGCUCCAUCCAAAAAGCUACCAGCCCUUCUAAAGCUCACAAACACGUCAUAUCUUGUUUAAUACGUGCAGAAAGUGGAAAGUAGAUACAAUUUUGUUUUUAAGGGGAGUUAGUGGUCAAUUCUGGGCAGGUAGCCAGGCUAGCUGUUUCCCCCUGCUUUCAGCCACUAUGCUAGGCUAAGCUAAUCGUUACCCGGCUGUAGAGUGGUGUCGGUCUUUUCAUGUAACUCUCAGCAAGAAAACAAUAUUCCCAAAAAUGUCAAACUAUAAGAACAACUGAGGACAAACUGACUCAGUUUUGCUUGUUUUACUUUAAAAUGUGUUUCCGUCGGCUCUGCGUGCCACAGUCAGAUCACAGCGACUUCAGUCCUGCCAUAUUUCUCUGCACUACGAAUCUGUAUUUCACACAAGAUGAAAUGUUAUUCUUUUUUUUUUUGCCAAAUAUUUUUACAUCUUCUACUUUUCAAAUCUUUAUCUUUUUAUAAGAUGUGAUAUUUAUAACAAUAAAAUGUGAUUUGGUACUUGAA